AGAGUGAACGCUGGCGGUAGGCCUAACACAUGCAAGUCGAACGGCAGCACAGUAGGAGCUUGCUCUUACGGGUGGCGAGUGGCGGACGGGUGAGGAAUACAUCGGAAUCUACCUUUUGGUGGGGGAUAACGUAGGGAAACUUACGCUAAUACCGCAUACGCCCUUCGGGGGAAAGCCGGGACCAGCAAUGGCCUGGUGCUGAUAGAUGAGCCGAUGUCGGAUUAGCUAGUUGGUGAGGUAAUGGCUCACCAAGGCGACGAUCCGUAGCUGGUCUGAGAGGAUGAUCAGCCACACGUAGGAACUGACGA
RNAcentral lists this ribosomal RNA (308 nucleotides) under uncultured soil bacterium. RNAcentral describes it as "bacterial SSU rRNA". It matches the Rfam family "Bacterial small subunit ribosomal RNA", at positions 26 to 325 of the family's 1533-position model. The record is from RNAcentral.